This 253-nucleotide ribosomal RNA is filed under the name uncultured bacterium. RNAcentral describes it as "partial 16S ribosomal RNA". It matches the Rfam family "Bacterial small subunit ribosomal RNA", at positions 524 to 776 of the family's 1533-position model. The record is from RNAcentral.
UACGUAGGUGGCGAGCGUUGUCCGGAUUUACUGGGCGUAAAGCGUGCGCAGGCGGUUCGUUGUGUCGGCGGUGAAAGCCCCGGGCUCAACCUGGGAAUGGCCGUUGAAACUGGCGAACUGGAGUGUGGCAGAGGGGGGUGGAAUUCCGCGUGUAGCAGUGAAAUGCGUAGAGAUGCGGAGGAACACCGAUGGCGAAGGCAGCCCCCUGGGCUGACACUGACGCUCAGGCACGAAAGCGUGGGGAGCAAACAGG